Molecule: non-coding RNA, 30 nt
Filed under: Rattus norvegicus (Norway rat)
Lineage: Eukaryota; Metazoa; Chordata; Mammalia; Rodentia; Muridae
Source: RNAcentral
UAGGGCGAAUUUCAUAAAUAACUGGUCUGC